This 197-nucleotide ribosomal RNA is filed under the name uncultured bacterium. RNAcentral's name for it is "partial 16S ribosomal RNA". It matches the Rfam family "Bacterial small subunit ribosomal RNA", at positions 328 to 539 of the family's 1533-position model. The record is from RNAcentral.
ACGCUCGACACCUACGGGGGCAGCAGUGGGGAAUAUUGCACAAUGGGGGAAACCCUGAUGCAGCGACGCCGCGUGGAGGAAGAAGGUCUUCGGAUUGUAAACUCCUGUUGUUGGGGAAAAAGAGGAUGGUACCCAACAAGGAAGUGACGGCUAACUACGUGCCUGCAGCCGCGGUAAUCUGAGCGGGCUGGCAAGGC